This 253-nucleotide ribosomal RNA is filed under the name uncultured bacterium. Its description in RNAcentral is "partial 16S ribosomal RNA". It matches the Rfam family "Bacterial small subunit ribosomal RNA", at positions 524 to 776 of the family's 1533-position model. The record is from RNAcentral.
UACGGAGGAUCCAAGCGUUAUCCGGAAUCAUUGGGUUUAAAGGGUCCGUAGGCGGUCUAGUAAGUCAGUGGUGAAAGCCCAUCGCUCAACGGUGGAACGGCCAUUGAUACUGCUAGACUUGAAUUAUUAGGAAGUAACUAGAAUAUGUAGUGUAGCGGUGAAAUGCUUAGAGAUUACAUGGAAUACCAAUUGCGAAGGCAGGUUACUACUAAUGGAUUGACGCUGAUGGACGAAAGCGUGGGUAGCGAUCCGG